RNAcentral lists this ribosomal RNA (253 nucleotides) under uncultured bacterium. RNAcentral's name for it is "partial 16S ribosomal RNA". It matches the Rfam family "Bacterial small subunit ribosomal RNA", at positions 524 to 776 of the family's 1533-position model. The record is from RNAcentral.
UACGAAGGGUGCUAGCGUUGCUCGGAAUCACUGGGCGUAAAGCGCACGUAGGCGGAUUUCUAAGUCGGGGGUGAAAUCCUGGAGCUCAACUCCAGAACUGCCUUCGAUACUGGAAGUCUUGAGUCCGGGAGAGGUGAGUGGAACUGCGAGUGUAGAGGUGAAAUUCGUAGAGAUCAGGAGGAACACCGGUGGCGAAGGCGGCCUACUGGGCCAGCACUGACGCUGAGGCGCGAAAGCUCGGGGAGCGAACGGG